This 64-nucleotide transfer RNA is filed under the name Longpotamon depressum. Its description in RNAcentral is "tRNA-Asp". The record is from RNAcentral. Lineage: Eukaryota; Metazoa; Arthropoda; Malacostraca; Decapoda; Potamidae.
CAGAAGUUAGUUAAAUUAUAACAUAAACUUGUCAUAUUUAAAUUGUCCUUCUAGACACUUCUUU